Molecule: long non-coding RNA, 1198 nt
Organism: Chroicocephalus ridibundus (black-headed gull)
Lineage: Eukaryota; Metazoa; Chordata; Aves; Charadriiformes; Laridae
Exons: 5
Source: RefSeq, a predicted model, not a curated record
AGAAAAGUGAGUGGGCAAGGAAAAUCUUACCUGGACUUUCACUUGGGAAGACCACGUUCCCAGGUUAUGAUGAAAAAAAAUAAAUAAUGAAGUAGUAGUAGUAAUAAUAAUGAUGAUGACUGUGAUGAUAAUGAGUGCUCUUGCAAUAUCUCUAUUGCAUCUUUAAGUAAUUAGUUAACCAACAUUAAGUGUGUUUUCACAUUGCAGUGGACCUUUAGAUUGAUAACAGGCUCUUAUAUAGCUUUUUCUGGCUUUGGUCAUUUACAAAAUAAGGUGUUCUACACUGUGCAGUCUUAAUCAGAACUGUAAUUAAUUGAUGUGAUAGGCUAGUGGAUUAGGCCAAGACCAGAGCAUUGCAAGAAAAAAUGAACUUGAGGAAAACAUGUUUCUGCUACCAGGAUAACAAGACUCUCUUGCAUUUCAGAAAUGUGAAAAUGUGGGAAAGGAAAAAUCUGUAGUAUAUAAAAAAAAAAAAAGGAAAUGUUUUCAAGUGGAUAUUUUUUAAUGUGGUUAAACAACAUUAACUACAAUAUUAUAGCUACGGUGAGCAAAAGCAGCCAUCUUGAAGGUUCUCAGAAUUCUUUCUUUGGAAUUUUUGAUGUCAUAUGCCUGUACCGCUUACUUGUGUGUCAGUUUGGUUUGCCAUAACUUAAACUUUGAAAGCUGUUAAGACUGUUAGGCAAGAUUUUAGCCUGUAUUAGUGGUCUCUAUUGCAGGUGGAUUUCGUGAUAGGACAGAUUCCAUGAAUGUGGAUUUGUGACUAAAUCCAGUAGUAAUAGUGUAUUUUGAAAUCAUAAUUAAAAGUAAAACCACCACUCAACGUCAGCUAAAUUCUUAUGGGCUUUUUUUGGGCAUUUUUCAGGAACUUCAUGGGACUUUUGGUAACAAGAAGCUGUUAGUAUAUCUGCACAAGAACUACAGAAAUAAAUGUAGACAGAUAGAGUACGUUGAUAUUACAAGAAAUUCAGGCCGAGGGGUCAAAAGACUGUUCCCUUAUCAGAAGGAUAACUCUUAAAUUACAAAACCAAAGCGGCAAAAGAAAGGAGACCUGAUUAGCAAGAAAAAACUGCCAGAAACAGAAACUGGAGAAGGGACGUUCUUCCCUGCAAAGGGAAUAAAGCAUUCAUGGAUGCUGCUCUGAGAUAGCUCUUCUGGUCUGAUUGAUUCAACCGGUGUACGAAGAAUACAGGAACAGUCC